UGCGCCCUCGGGUCCUUCCCGGGGCCUCGCCUGUCUGAGGGUCGGAC
RNAcentral lists this ribosomal RNA (47 nucleotides) under Androctonus crassicauda. RNAcentral's name for it is "partial 5.8S ribosomal RNA". The record is from RNAcentral. Lineage: Eukaryota; Metazoa; Arthropoda; Arachnida; Scorpiones; Buthidae.